AUUGAACGCUGGCGGCAGGCCUAACACAUGCAAGUCGAGCGAGCGGCGGACGGGUGAGUAAUGUCUGGGAAACUGCCUGAUGGAGGGGGAUAACUACUGUAAACGGUAGCUAAUACCGCAUACCCUCAGAUGUGCCCAGAUGGGAUUAGCUAGUAGGUGGGGUAACGGCUCACCGAGGCGACGAUCCCUAGCUGGUCUGAGAGGAUGACCAGCCACACUGGAACUGAGACACGGACCAGGCUCCUACGGGAGGCAGCAGUGGGGAAUAUUGGACAAUGGUCGCAAGCCUGAUGCAGCCAUGCCGCGUGUGUGAAGAAGGCCUUCGGGUUGUAAAGCACUUUCAGCGGGGAGGCGGUACCCGCAGAAGAAGCACCGGCUAACUCCGUGCCAGCAGCCGCGGUAAUAC
RNAcentral lists this ribosomal RNA (406 nucleotides) under uncultured bacterium. RNAcentral describes it as "partial 16S ribosomal RNA". It matches the Rfam family "Bacterial small subunit ribosomal RNA", at positions 30 to 526 of the family's 1533-position model. The record is from RNAcentral.